This 72-nucleotide transfer RNA is filed under the name Minisyncoccota bacterium. RNAcentral describes it as "tRNA-Arg". It matches the Rfam family "tRNA". Rfam says of the family: Transfer RNA (tRNA) molecules are approximately 80 nucleotides in length. The record is from RNAcentral. Lineage: Bacteria; Bacillati; Minisyncoccota.
GUCGCCGUAGUUCAAUGGAUAGAAUAGCUCACUCCUAACGAGCUGAUACAGGUUCGAUUCCUGUCGGUGACA